UUUUUCUUAUUUUUUUUCUUUCCCUUGAUUCAAAGUCUCUUCAGAUCCUGUAAGAAUUGUAUCUUUUGAGAUCCAAUGCUUCGUGCAAGCUAUUGUAUCGAAAGAGUAUUCUAGUUUCAAGACUGGAUAAUUCUUAUUUUGAGUAUUCCUUUGUAAUUUUGUUUUGCCUUAGACUUGUAUGUUCAGAUUCUUAGGUAAAAUUGAUGUAUUUUUUCUUAUCCUUUGAUUGUAUAACCAAACCAAUGUGGUUAAUUGGAUGUGUCGAAUGAAUCAAA
RNAcentral lists this long non-coding RNA (275 nucleotides) under Lathyrus oleraceus (garden pea). RNAcentral's name for it is "Pisum sativum (pea) long non-coding RNA (PSAT_LNC034085)". The record is from RNAcentral. Lineage: Eukaryota; Viridiplantae; Streptophyta; Magnoliopsida; Fabales; Fabaceae.